Dipodomys ordii (Ord's kangaroo rat) is the source of this 159-nucleotide small nuclear RNA. Its record names the gene U1. It matches the Rfam family "U1 spliceosomal RNA". From Rfam's summary of the family: U1 is a small nuclear RNA (snRNA) component of the spliceosome (involved in pre-mRNA splicing). Its 5' end forms complementary base pairs with the 5' splice junction, thus defining the 5' donor site of an intron. The record is from Ensembl. Lineage: Eukaryota; Metazoa; Chordata; Mammalia; Rodentia; Heteromyidae.
AUACUUACCUGGCAGAGGAGACACCAGGGUGGCAGAGGUGGUUUUUCCCAGGGCGAGGUUUAUCCACUAGACUCCGGAUGUGCUGGCCCUUGCGAUUUCCCCAAAUGCGGGAAACUCAGCUGCCUCAUUUGUGGGAGUGGGGGACUGCAUUUUCCCCUG